Molecule: non-coding RNA, 253 nt
Organism: Coffea arabica (coffee)
Lineage: Eukaryota; Viridiplantae; Streptophyta; Magnoliopsida; Gentianales; Rubiaceae
Source: RefSeq, a predicted model, not a curated record
GCUCAAGAUUAGAAGGCAAUGUCGAAGGAGUUGGAAGCCAAGACAAUCAAACAAUUCGACUUGCCAAAGCUUUGAAGAUUUAUGUUUCUAAAUCUAGAUUAGCUCAUUAUUUGGACCUUGUUAAUUUAUGAGACGUAACUUAUUAUGUAUUGUGGAGUAUGUUUAUAUUUUAAAGCCUUUUUCUUUCAUUUGCCGAAUGUAUGACUAUUGUGUGAGCAGGCUGGCCGCUGGUUAAUGACAUGUUAAUGUGUAG